CCUACGGGAGGCAGCAGUGGGGAAUAUUGCGCAAUGGGCGAAAGCCUGACGCAGCGACGCCGCGUGAGGGAUGAAGGUCUUCGGAUCGUAAACCUCUGUCAGCAGGGAAGAAUGGUCACUGUGCUAAUCAGCAGUGAAUUGACGGUACCUGCAAAGGAAGCACCGGCUAACUCCGUGCCAGCAGCCGCGGUAAUACGGAGGGUGCGAGCGUUAAUCGGAAUUACUGGGCGUAAAGCGCUCGUAGGCGGUAUGUCAAGUCAAGGGUGAAAUCCCCGCGCUCAACGUGGGAACUGCCUUUGAAACUGGCAAACUGGAGUGUGUGAGAGGAUAGUGGAAUGCCAGGUGUAGGAGUGAAAUGCGUAGAGAUCUGGAGGAACAUCAGUGGCGAAGGCGACUAUCUGGCACAUAACUGACGCUGAGGAGCGAAAGCGUGGGUAGCAAACAGGAUUAGAUACCCCGGUAGUC
This 465-nucleotide ribosomal RNA is filed under the name uncultured bacterium. RNAcentral's name for it is "partial 16S ribosomal RNA". It matches the Rfam family "Bacterial small subunit ribosomal RNA", at positions 338 to 795 of the family's 1533-position model. The record is from RNAcentral.